RNAcentral lists this ribosomal RNA (1970 nucleotides) under Salmonella enterica subsp. enterica. RNAcentral describes it as "bacterial LSU rRNA". It matches the Rfam family "Bacterial large subunit ribosomal RNA", at positions 1 to 1899 of the family's 2925-position model. Lineage: Bacteria; Pseudomonadati; Pseudomonadota; Gammaproteobacteria; Enterobacterales; Enterobacteriaceae. The record is from RNAcentral.
GGGUUGUGAGGUUAAGCGACUAAGCGUACACGGUGGAUGCCCUGGCAGUCAGAGGCGAUGAAGGGCGUGCUAAUCUGCGAUAAGCGCCGGUAAGGUGAUAUGAACCGUUAUAACCGGCGAUACCCGAAUGGGGAAACCCAGUGUGACUCGUCACACUAUCAUUAACUGAAUCCAUAGGUUAAUGAGGCGAACCGGGGGAACUGAAACAUCUAAGUACCCCGAGGAAAAGAAAUCAACCGAGAUUCCCCCAGUAGCGGCGAGCGAACGGGGAGGAGCCCAGAGCCUGAAUCAGCAUGUGUGUUAGUGGAAGCGUCUGGAAAGGCGCGCGAUACAGGGUGACAGCCCCGUACACAAAAGCGCAUGUGCUGUGAGCUCGAUGAGUAGGGCGGGACACGUGGUAUCCUGUCUGAAUAUGGGGGGACCAUCCUCCAAGGCUAAAUACUCCUGACUGACCGAUAGUGAACCAGUACCGUGAGGGAAAGGCGAAAAGAACCCCGGCGAGGGGAGUGAAAAAGAACCUGAAACCGUGUACGUACAAGCAGUGGGAGCACAGGUUUACCUGUGUGACUGCGUACCUUUUGUAUAAUGGGUCAGCGACUUAUAUUCUGUAGCAAGGUUAACCGAAUAGGGGAGCCGGAGGGAAACCGAGUCUUAAUUGGGCGUUAAGUUGCAGGGUAUAGACCCGAAACCCGGUGAUCUAGCCAUGGGCAGGUUGAAGGUUGGGUAACACUAACUGGAGGACCGAACCGACUAAUGUUGAAAAAUUAGCGGAUGACCUGUGGCUGGGGGUGAAAGGCCAAUCAAACCGGGAGAUAGCUGGUUCUCCCCGAAAGCUAUUUAGGUAGCGCCUCGUGAAUUCAUCUCCGGGGGUAGAGCACUGUUUCGGCUAGGGGGCCAUCCCGGCUUACCAACCCGAUGCAAACUGCGAAUACCGGAGAAUGUUAUCACGGGAGACACACGGCGGGUGCUAACGUCCGUCGUGAAGAGGGAAACAACCCAGACCGCCAGCUAAGGUCCCAAAGUCAUGGUUAAGUGGGAAACGAUGUGGGAAGGCCCAGACAGCCAGGAUGUUGGCUUAGAAGCAGCCAUCAUUUAAAGAAAGCGUAAUAGCUCACUGGUCGAGUCGGCCUGCGCGGAAGAUGUAACGGGGCUAAACCAUGCACCGAAGCUGCGGCAGCGAACGUAUCACCCAAGACAACUUUGCGGAGUUGACGAUUGACGGAGCGAAGCGACGUCAAAGCGUUCAUUAAAGUCGAGUUGGCUUAGGGAUACGUUCGUUGGGUAGGGGAGCGUUCUGUAAGCCUGUGAAGGUGGCCUGUGAGGGUUGCUGGAGGUAUCAGAAGUGCGAAUGCUGACAUAAGUAACGAUAAAGCGGGUGAAAAGCCCGCUCGCCGGAAGACCAAGGGUUCCUGUCCAACGUUAAUCGGGGCAGGGUGAGUCGACCCCUAAGGCGAGGCCGAAAGGCGUAGUCGAUGGGAAACGGGUUAAUAUUCCCGUACUUGGUGUUACUGCGAAGGGGGGACGGAGAAGGCUAUGUUGGCCGGGCGACGGUUGUCCCGGUUUAAGCGUGUAGGUGUGUGUUCCAGGUAAAUCCGGUUCACUUUAACACUGAGGCGUGACGACGAGGCACUACGGUGCUGAAGCAACAAAUGCCCUGCUUCCAGGAAAAGCCUCUAAGCAUCAGGUAACAUCAAAUCGUACCCCAAACCGACACAGGUGGUCAGGUAGAGAAUACCAAGGCGCUUGAGAGAACUCGGGUGAAGGAACUAGGCAAAAUGGUGCCGUAACUUCGGGAGAAGGCACGCUGACACGUAGGUGAAGUGAUUUACUCAUGGAGCUGAAGUCAGUCGAAGAUACCAGCUGGCUGCAACUGUUUAUUAAAAACACAGCACUGUGCAAACACGAAAGUGGACGUAUACGGUGUGACGCCUGCCCGGUGCCGGAAGGUUAAUUGAUGGGGUCAGCGCAAG